Molecule: ribosomal RNA, 459 nt
Filed under: Triticum aestivum (bread wheat)
Lineage: Eukaryota; Viridiplantae; Streptophyta; Magnoliopsida; Poales; Poaceae
Description: partial small subunit ribosomal RNA
Source: RNAcentral
AUGGCUCUAAAGGCUCAGUUCAACUUGGGCAGAGAAUGCUAUGACGCAAUUAUGACAGUAUUUGGACGCUUUCUACCCAAAGGCCAUGUAAUGCCUGCAAACCUGUACCAGUCGGACAAAAUCCUCCGUGCACUGAAGAUGCCCUAUGAGAAGAUACAUGCCUGUGAGAAAGGAUGUGCCUUAUUUAGGCUUGACUAUGCGGACUUGAACUAUUGUCCCAUUUGCAAGUCUUCCAGGUAUAUUGUGGUAGAUAACGGUAUGGGUGAGGAGACACAGACCAAAAUCCCCGUUAGUGUUCUUCGGUAUAUGCCAAUCGUACCAAGACUUCAACGUCUUUUAAUGGUCGAAGAGACGGCCAGACAGAUGACAUGGCACAAAACAGGUAAACGAACCGAACUAGAUAAUUCCAGGACCCAACUAUCCGGGCAAAAAUAUGAAUGUGUACAUGCAGCCGCUUAA